GAAUAUUGCACAAUGGAGGGAACUCUGAUGCAGCAACGCCGCGUGAGUGAAGAAGGUUUUCGGAACGUAAAACUCUGUCAUUGGGGAAGAAUAAAUGACGGUACCCAAUGCGGAAGCCCCGGCUAACUACGUGCCAGCAGCCGCGGUAAUACGUAGGGGGCGAGCGUUGUCCGGAAUUACUGGGCGUAAAGGGUACGUAGGCGGCCUUUUAAGUCAGAUGUGAAAGAUCACGGCUCAACCGUGGUAAGCAUUUGAAACUGGAGGGCUUGAGUAUCGGAGAGGGUAGUGGAAUUCCCAGUGUAGCGGUGGAAUGCGUAGAUAUUGGGAGGAACACCAGUGGCGAAGUCGACUACCUGGACGAAAACUGACGCUGAGGCACGAAAGCUAGGGGAGCAAACA
Molecule: ribosomal RNA, 399 nt
Filed under: uncultured bacterium
Lineage: Bacteria
Description: partial 16S ribosomal RNA
Rfam family: Bacterial small subunit ribosomal RNA
Source: RNAcentral